GCACUGCUGAGGAGUCCCACAAUAGGACGAAACGGCCGUCCAGUGC
This is a non-coding RNA of Schistosoma margrebowiei, 46 nucleotides long. NCBI's taxonomy places the organism in Eukaryota, Metazoa, Platyhelminthes, Trematoda, Strigeidida, Schistosomatidae. The record is from Rfam.